Molecule: non-coding RNA, 75 nt
Organism: Henosepilachna vigintioctopunctata
Lineage: Eukaryota; Metazoa; Arthropoda; Insecta; Coleoptera; Coccinellidae
Source: the annotation of a GenBank genome assembly
GACCUCGGUAGCUUAGCGGUCCAACGCAGUGGGAUGUUAACCUGAAGAGCUGGGUUCGAAUCCCAGUCGAGUUCG